CACCAUGUGCGUGCCCGACACUUAGGUCUAGCCCGCGUCCUCAAGCCUCUCGCCAUCCCACCUCUGCCUCACCGCGGAGUGAAGGGUGACAGAGGUGGAACUAAGUUUUCGGGGAUUAAGGGAAACGUGCGGAUUUCCCAAGAAUCUCGCUCCGCGUUUGAGACGGACCUGCCACGUUCUGCCACAAACGCUGCGAGGUGCCGCCGGGAGACGCCCCGGGUGGCACGGACCAGCCCAGGAGGACAGUCCUCCCGCGCUGCCUCGGUUUCUGCUGAACCACCCACCCUCCCGGGAAAGACCUCUUCUUUUCACGCCUCCUUUUCAAAGCGAACGGUCCUCAGCGGCCGUGGGGCCUCUACGGAAAGAAAACUGGGGUGCGGACGGCACCAACGCGGAGAAAAUGCCUUCCCAGCCCGCGCAAACCACAGGGGCAAAGCUCCGGCCCGGCCGUGGGUGCAGCGGCCGCGAGGAUGCAGCGGUCCUCGGACCGGCAACCAAGGGAGACGCGGAGCCGGGACCCCCGCGGCCCCGCCCCGCACGCACCUGGGAGGCGCUGCCCGACUCCGAGCCGGGGAAGACCGUGGGGUAGCGACUGAGAACCGCAGCAAGGCAGCGGCGAAGACUCUGAAAACCGCCGGCCCGGAGCAGCGCAAGCAGACAAAGUCAAUGCCUGCCCAAGCCCCGCACCAGCGAGCGCCCCGACAGCCGCCGCCGCGCCAGCAGCCCCGCCGCGCGCUCCGCCCCGGGGGACCGAGGGGCGUCCCCGAGGGGAGGCUCACCUGUCCGCGCCGCCGCCGCCCUCGCGGACCUGCGAGGGGCGCUCAGGGUCCUCCCCAUGCUCCGGGGUGCCGUCCGCCGCUCCGCACGCGCGUCCUGCCCUCGGUCCCACGCCCGCGGGACCCUGCGAGCGAGCCGCCCCUUCCCGGGACUCCCCUCCUCCCGGCUCCCACGGGGCGCCUCGCCCGCGUUCGCACGGACUCGUCAGCCGCGCGCGGGACCCUCCACGUCGCAGCCCGUCCUUCCUCUCCGCCCUUGUGCGGGGAGCGCCGCCAGGGUGACGCGGGGCUGCCCCGAAGCGCCGGCGGGAGGGACACGGGCCCGAUGUCCAGGCUCGAAGGCCGCAGGCCCCGCUGCGCUUGUCAGCCCAGCGUCGCCCCUGCCCCAGACGCUCAUAGGAAGGCGCGGACGCCGAGACGCCCCGCGGCCUGA
RNAcentral lists this long non-coding RNA (1209 nucleotides) under Sus scrofa (pig). Its description in RNAcentral is "lncRNA (ENSSSCG00070006561.1)". Lineage: Eukaryota; Metazoa; Chordata; Mammalia; Artiodactyla; Suidae. The record is from RNAcentral.